CAAUAGCGUAUAUUAAAGUUGUUGCGGUUAAAAAGCUCGUAGUUGGAUUUCUGCAUGGAAGGAGCGGUCCACCCAUUGGGCGCGUACGGCUACCUUUGAUGCAUCUUUCUGAGGACGUGUUCUUCACUUAAUUGUGAGGGCGCAGGACUCAGGACAUUUACUUUGAGGAAAUGAGAGUGUUUCAAGCAGGCAAAUGCCUUGAAUACGUUAGCAUGGAAUAAUAGCAUCGGACCAUCGUCCAGCUGUUGGUGUCUGGGCGAAGGUAAAGGUGAAUAGGGAUUGUUGGGGGCAUUCGUAUUUAACUGUCAGAGGUGAAAUUCUUGGAUUUGUUGAAGACGGACCACUGCGAAAGCAUCUGCCAAAGAUGUUCUCAUUGA
This 377-nucleotide ribosomal RNA is filed under the name uncultured eukaryote. RNAcentral describes it as "partial 18S ribosomal RNA". It matches the Rfam family "Eukaryotic small subunit ribosomal RNA", at positions 592 to 976 of the family's 1831-position model. The record is from RNAcentral.